AUGGAGCAGCCCGACUGGGGUAGUACCUCGACCUUACAGAAGAUCACAGCAAAAUAAUGCUGUUUUUAAACAGUAUUGUGUUCCUGUUGGUGAGUAAGGUGACCAGAGCUCCUGGGGGGAUUGGGGAUUGGGUCGGCAACGCGCUUGCGAUGCUUCUGGUGUUGCAGGUGUCUAUAAGCUACGGCAAUCGCUUACCAUCAGGUGAGCCGUACGCUUGUUUGCCGACCUAGUAACAUAAAAAAAAAAACAAUUUUUGAACUAAAUACGUUGGCGAUUUCCGUAUUUUGUUACUUUUCGAUUUAAAAUAAAAUCCUUUUUUCGGUUUGACAACUAACACAAUUAUUCUCACGAAACUAUCACAAAACUUGCACUAUUCUAUUCAAUACUCAAUUUACUCAUUCUUUUUUUUUAUACAACUGGAUCAGGAAAAAUAAAAUAAACACAGCAAGUUAAACAAAUGUUUAGCUGGUAAGCUGCUGAGCUGGUACGAACCCUCGAUUGACAGCAUCAUUAUAUCGGUGCAAUACAGCGCUAGCAUGAAAUUAAAAAAAAAUGUUGUAAAUGUGUUACCAGGGACUGUCCCUGGUAACUUCUUUGAUCUUGAUUUCAGCGUCAUCAAGACACGGUGUGGUGACACAUUGACAUGAUUAAACUGUCACCGCGUCCAUUUUCAUUAAAAAACAUCUAAUUUUUCACGUAAAGUCGAUAAAAAAAAAUUCUAUGAGGCGCAGCUGGUUAAAAACUUGCUCAGAAUUAGGAGCAGCGCGUCUUACGAAGUUACCCAAACUUGGACAAGGUCACAUUAAAAUAUUACUGUUCUCAAUUAGUGUUAUGUUUCUGUGGGGAAUAAGGCAGCCAGAGUUCCAGACGAGGGUGGGGCGUAGGCUUAGCAAAGCGCUUUUGAUGCACCUGGUGUUGCAAGUGUCCAUUAGCUACGGUAACUGCUUUCAUAGCGCAUAGCGGAUCAUAUGCUUAUUUGCUGUCCUAAAAUAAUUGUGUUUGCUAGCAAACGAAAAAAAUCGAUUUCAAUUACAUCGACAAGUAAUACAAUGUAUGUAUAAGUAGGUGAAAAAAUUAACAGACGUACUAGUCGCCACUACGAUUUACGAAGAUUCCCCUUCGAUUUCUCUGGGAUGCCAUCAUCAGAUCAUAGUAUCCUUAUUUUGACACAACCCUUGAGAUAUUUCCAUUCCAGCAAAAAAAAAUAAUUAUCAAAAUCUGUUCAUAAACGUCGAAAUUAUCCGCGAACACACAAAUAUAUAUACGGUCAAAUUGAGAAACCUUUUUUUGAAGUCGGUUAAAAAUUGUAAUUUUGUAAUUUAUUUUAUAAUUUAUUAAAAUGGAAAACAGACUGUUAUUAUUAAAUUGUUUGUGUAUAUUGUAAAUAUCUGAGUUUAACCGCCGAGAUCAAAUGCUUACGCUCGUUCCAUACAUCACGAGAUUUAGUUCGACCGAUAGACAAAUGUUAUGUUAUUAUGAAUAUAAAUAAAUUGGAAUUUUGUUAUGUUUGUUGUUUCAACUACAGAUGUAUUGCACUGGUUCUAAUGGAACUAAGUGGCCCUAAGAUUACGAACAUUUGUUUAAAUUAUUAUUAUUAUUUUUAUCAUAACUUUUAUCUUCUAUUUACGUUUCGUUGCUACUAAGAUGUUGUGCUCUUUUGAUUAAUUUAUUGUUGUUUUGAUUAAGAAAGAUAUAUUUCUCUUUAGAUUUAUUUAUAACUAGCUGCCCGGACAAACUUCGUUCUGUCAAAAGUUAAUAGUAAAUUUAAAAAAAAAAAAAAAAUUUUUUUUAAUUUUUUA
RNAcentral lists this unclassified non-coding RNA (1799 nucleotides) under Melitaea cinxia (Glanville fritillary). Its description in RNAcentral is "misc RNA ENSMCXG00005018052.1". The record is from RNAcentral. Lineage: Eukaryota; Metazoa; Arthropoda; Insecta; Lepidoptera; Nymphalidae.